Molecule: ribosomal RNA, 607 nt
Filed under: Psychromonas boydii
Lineage: Bacteria; Pseudomonadati; Pseudomonadota; Gammaproteobacteria; Alteromonadales; Psychromonadaceae
Description: bacterial SSU rRNA
Rfam family: Bacterial small subunit ribosomal RNA
Source: RNAcentral
UAACAGAGAAUAGCUUGCUAUUUUGCUGACGAGUGGCGGACGGGUGAGUAAUGCUUGGGAAUUUACCUUGUUGUGGGGGACAACAGUUGGAAACGACUGCUAAUACCGCAUAAUGUCUUUUGACCAAAGGUGGCCUCUAUUUAUAUGCUAUCGCGACAAGAUGAGCCCAAGUGGGAUUAGCUAGUUGGUAAGGUAAAGGCUUACCAAGGCGACGAUCCCUAGCUGGUCUUAGAGGAUGACCAGCCACACUGGAACUGAGACACGGUCCAGACUCCUACGGGAGGCAGCAGUGGGGAAUAUUGCACAAUGGGGGAAACCCUGAUGCAGCCAUGCCGCGUGUGUGAAGAAGGCUUUCGGGUUGUAAAGCACUUUCAGCGAGGAGGAAAGGGUGUAGGUUAAUACCCUGCAUCUGUGACGUUACUCGCAGAAGAAGCACCGGCUAACUCCGUGCCAGCAGCCGCGGUAAUACGGAGGGUGCGAGCGUUAAUCGGAAUUACUGGGCGUAAAGCGCGCGUAGGUGGUUAAUUAAGUCAGAUGUGAAAGCCCAGGGCUCAACCUUGGAACUGCAUUUGAAACUGGUUAACUAGAGUUUUGUAGAGGGUGGUAG